GGAUGCGAUAAUAACAGAAUUAUUUUUGGGUGUUAGAAGCACUUCCACAAGUGACUAGUAUUUUGAGAACUAUUCUCCACUUAGACCCUGACCAAUUCUUUUUUUUUUUUAAAGAAUCAUCUCGACAUUUCUGAGAGAAGAAAGCAACACCAGUCUAGAGACCGAAGAGAGGUCACUCGGGUUGGAGAGAAAAGGGGAAAAAGAAAAGGAAUCUUACUGUUUCUUUAGCAGCAGCCAUAGCAAGAAAACCAGCACCCAUGUCCACCUCCUGCAAGCCAACAACAAUUAUGCCAGCAUCUGCUGCAGCAGAACCAAGCCAUGAUACAAGUGAAUCAGGAGAAGCUCUUCCUUGUCCAACAUUCCAUGUACCAGCCAAUAUUUUUAAAUUCUCGAGCCUGGUAUACAAAAAUUCGAUGCCAACAUCUGCUGCUGCAGAACCUAGCCAUGAUAUAAGUGAAUCGGGAGAAGCUCUUCCUUGUCCAACAUUCCAUGUACCAGCCAAUAUUUUUAAAUUCUCGAGCCUGGUAUACAAAAAUUCCUUGCU
This 544-nucleotide long non-coding RNA is filed under the name Nicotiana benthamiana. RNAcentral describes it as "long non-coding RNA (NBEN_LNC031471)". The record is from RNAcentral. Lineage: Eukaryota; Viridiplantae; Streptophyta; Magnoliopsida; Solanales; Solanaceae.